UAACCUUCGUGAGGUCCAGUUUAAAGAUUAUAAGCAAAACAAAAAGCAUUUGGGGUUAGCAUAGAGGAAUCCACAAACCAAUAAGAAAUAAACCUAACUGCAUCUUUCUAGACCUUCCCUAAUUUACUUAUAUAUGUGCGAUUUCAGAUAAGUAAUCUCUAGGUAUGAUUUGAUGGUUUUUCAUCUGGCUUAAGCGUCUCACAGCAUAACUGCUCCCUGUUCCCCUCUUUCCCGGAGAACCACAACACACAGACAAAGGGAAGGUUUUUUUUCCCAAUUUUAAGAAGUUCUAGCCCUCCCAUUGACUCUUUUGGUCAGGUGCCCACUCCUUUCCUUUUACCUGUGGGCUUAUUAGGCUUUUACAGGUAAAGCACAUAGAGAACCACCACCAAGAGGGAUUCCAUAGCCAACUGGCUGGCUGGGAGUCUCCAAAAGGGAGCUAUCCCCUCUCUCAUUUAUCACAACAGAAGAGGAGAAAGGGGCAGAAAGAACCAUUUAAAGGGAAGGGACCGGGGAAUUUAUAGUAUAAGUCUAAAAACAAAGCUAACUUUACUUUUCCAAAAUGAAAUCCCAACUGAGUAGUGAAGAAAGUUUAGUGCAGUUCACCUCUUGGAACAAGUUGCAAGAUCACUAAUUCUUUUCACCUUUGACACAAUCAUUUAUUACAAUGGCAAGUUAAAGCACAGAAGGUUUGUGCCAUUAUCAGAAUCAGAUAUUUUUAAAAUUCACUUGGGCUUUUAUCUGGAUUUAGUUUGUUGAAAUUUUUAACCGGAGGAAAAACCCAUUACAGUUUAAUGAUAUUAUUGCAUUAGCUUUAUUUUAGUAAAGUUAGGUCCCAAUACCACCAAAGAAAAAGUCUUAGCCUAUCAGUGGAUAUGUAAUUCCUGGAACUAACAACUCACUAUGGUAUACUAAGAAAAAGGCAAAAGCAGCCAGUUUCUUUUCAUCAAAAAAGUUAAUCAUCAACCUUUAUUUUUUUUCUUGUUAAAACAGUCUAUCAUAGUUUGGAACUGUUGCAGGGCAAAUGCACAUGCACAUUGUUUUCUUUAAUUUGGUGGGAGAAAAGGACAGAAGAGUGCCUCUAGUUCCCACGAGCUCUCUCCACUUAGUCCAGUGACCCCUGUUAUACAAACAACUUAGCAAAAAUUUAGUUUCCCCGAGCCAGCUAGCGUACUGAAACUCCAAAGUACUUGGAAAGAAAAGUAUAAUCUCUUGAAUAAUAAUUUAUAUAAUUAUUCACCUACAAAGCAAACAAGUGAAAAACAAAUUAGUUAUGUGACAGAGCUGACUAGGCUGAGAGGUUUAUAUAGCUUACAAGAUGGUGCACUGACGUCAUGGAGAAAAAGAAAAAGUGAGCUAUGACAGCUGCUUGCCACUAUCACCAAUGCUGAUCUGCAAAGUCAUCACUACUCAGCGAAGAAAAUAAUGGAUUCCACAGAAGUGGAAGAGGAUGAAUCUGCACAGAUGGAGAGACUGUAUGGCCCUUAACUGCCCUUUAUUCCAAUACACUGAGUCUGGCCUCUUCCUGCUAAUCGAACAGUUGGACUCAGAUGGAUUUUUCGAAUGCUGCUUUUACUAACUAGUCUUGAGUGUGUGAAAAAUUCAUCUCAAGAAAUGGCUGGACCAAUGUGAUCACUUGAGGAAGAACAGCCAUUUUCUUCGGCAGAUUGAAGAAAAGUGGUGAAUGGAAAUGCAAGAGAUCAGCGGGAAUAUAAAUACAGUAGGAGAAGAAAAGAGGAAGACGAGAGAAUUAAGACAGAUAAAUGAGGUUUAGGAGACCUACGUGGCCAACCAAAAUGGGUUCCUCAACUAACAUUAUUAGUCCUAACCAGAACAAUGUAGCUAAUUAAAGUGCAAGUGAUUUCAAUCUAGUUAACUUUACUUAAAACAGAAAACUUAGGGCAUGUCCACACUUACCUCCAGAGCGAUCGAUCCAGCAGGGGUCAAUUUAUCGCAUCUAGUGAAGACGCGAUAAAUUGACCGCCAAGCGCUCUCCCGUCAACUCCGGUACUCCACCGGAGCGAGACGCAUAGGAGAGUUGAUGGGAGAGUAUCAAUAGUCGACCUGCCGCAGCGAAGACACCACGGUAAGUAACUCUAAGUACGUCGACUUCAAGUAUGCUAUCUUCGUAGCUGAAGUUGCAUAACUUAAACCAAUUUAGCUCGCCCUCCCCUGCCCCCUGGGGUAGACUAGGCCUUAAUUUGACAGGUCAAUUCAUGACAGUGAAGUGAUGGAUAACAGAUAAGGUUGAAAGAAAACUGGGUAAUCUCAGAUACACUGAUAUACAGUGUUGGUGCGAUAUAAUAAAAUGAAUAUAAAUCCUUAUUCAAAUCAAGUUUAUAACAAUGAAAAAGUCAUCUUGUAAUGCAAAACAUAGCAAGUGUCCAAUCUGAAAUCUAAACUACAAAGUGUAGAUAUACAUCUGAUUCAAUUAAUUCUUACAGGGUUUUUUAUUUAUUUAUUUUAUUGUAAAGGAACUACAGCAACCUGCACCGAUUAGAUAGCAAAAAAAAUUGAAGAUUGUAAGCAGGGCACAAACUGGUCUGAGGAAGAUAUACUUAUUUAACUUUUAUGUAUUUAUUGAGACUCUACUACAAUUGUGGAUUGAGGAUUGAUAGAACACACAGAGGUUUCUGCAUCUAGAGAUUUGUAACGUUACACACCAGAACAGAAUUGGACAGACUUAACUUAGCAUCAUAGAUACUUUUCAUUUGAGAUUAAAUGAUUUUAUUUUAUAGAAUAUAUAAAAAUAAUAAACUUCUAAUACAUGAAGUGACCUCAAGAUCAAUCUGAAUUUUCAGAUUGUGUCAUGAUACCAAAAAGUAUUAAAAAUAUAGGGUCAGUGAAGAAAAGUACUUACGUUGGUA
Molecule: long non-coding RNA, 2867 nt
Organism: Chelonia mydas (Green sea turtle)
Lineage: Eukaryota; Metazoa; Chordata; Testudines; Cheloniidae
Exons: 4
Source: RefSeq, a predicted model, not a curated record